Impatiens glandulifera is the source of this 85-nucleotide small nucleolar RNA. RefSeq annotates it as small nucleolar RNA U31b. The record is from RefSeq and is a predicted model, not a curated record. The transcript has a single exon. Lineage: Eukaryota; Viridiplantae; Streptophyta; Magnoliopsida; Ericales; Balsaminaceae.
CAACCUAAUUAUCUUUAUUUUUUCGCCCCAGUCUUACAUGCAUCUUUCUUCAGAUGCAAGUUGGUGAUUUACAUUCAUAACUUUG